RNAcentral lists this ribosomal RNA (252 nucleotides) under uncultured bacterium. RNAcentral's name for it is "partial 16S ribosomal RNA". It matches the Rfam family "Bacterial small subunit ribosomal RNA", at positions 524 to 776 of the family's 1533-position model. The record is from RNAcentral.
UACGUAGGUGGCAAGCGUUAUCCGGAAUGAUUGGGCGCAAAGGGUGCGCAGGCGGAACCAUAAGUCUGAAGUAAAAGCCAUCGGCUCAACCGAUGUAAGCUUUGGAAACUGUGGAUCUGGAGUGCAGGAGAGGACAGUGGAAUUCCAUGUGUAGCGGUAAAAUGCAUAGAUAUAUGGAGGAACACCAGUGGCGAAGGCGGCUGUCUGGCCUGUAACUGACGCUGAGGCACGAAAGCGUGGGGAGCAAAUAGG